Molecule: long non-coding RNA, 415 nt
Filed under: Homo sapiens (human)
Lineage: Eukaryota; Metazoa; Chordata; Mammalia; Primates; Hominidae
Description: HSALNT0091556
Source: RNAcentral
ACAGGAAAACUUGAGAUGAAGAAAUGGCUUUGAGUGGGGUUUCAGCAGAGAAAUAGUGGCUACUCCUAUUCAAAAAUGGAAAGCAAGAGCAUAGAUAAUGAGAAUGCUCCUCAUAGCCUGCCUGCUCCUCAGAAGUCAGAUACUGAACAUUUUGUUAUGUUAACUAAAACAGAACAAGAGAUGAACAAAAUGAAACUCCUCUUGUCGACUUGUGGACAGGUAGAACAUCUCAGUGGCCAUUUAAGCUACUUAGUCAAAUGACUCACUUUCUACCCUUUUCUCUAAGUUGGUGACUCUCAUCUUUCUAUUUUCAUUCCUGCCCAAAGGUUGAAUCAUUUUGUACAACUCUCUGCAGCACAUUGUUACUUGUAUGUCCUAGUGUCACAUGGAGCUCAAUAAACUUAGAAUUAAACUC